Molecule: ribosomal RNA, 458 nt
Filed under: uncultured organism
Description: partial 16S ribosomal RNA
Rfam family: Bacterial small subunit ribosomal RNA
Source: RNAcentral
GUACACUCCUACGGGAGGCAGCAGUGGGGAAUAUUGCACAAUGGGCGCAAGCCUGAUGCAGCGACGCCGCGUGGGGGAUGAAGGCCUUCGGGUUGUAAACUCCUUUCGCUAGGGACGAAGCUUUUUUGUGACGGUACCUAGAUAAGAAGCACCGGCUAACUACGUGCCAGCAGCCGCGGUAAUACGUAGGGUGCGAGCGUUGUCCGGAAUUACUGGGCGUAAAGGGCUCGUAGGUGGUUUGUCGCGUCGUCUGUGAAAUUCUGGGGCUUAACUCCGGGCGUGCAGGCGAUACGGGCAUAACUUGAGUGCUGUAGGGGUAACUGGAAUUCCUGGUGUAGCGGUGAAAUGCGCAGAUAUCAGGAGGAACACCGAUGGCGAAGGCAGGUUACUGGGCAGUUACUGACGCUGAGGAGCGAAAGCAUGGGUAGCGAACAGGAUUAGAUACCCCGGUAGUCCCA